CCUACGGGAGGCAGCAGUGAGGAAUAUUGGUCAAUGGGCGCGAGCCUGAACCAGCCAAGUCGCGUGAGGGAAGACGGCCCUACGGGUUGUAAACCUCUUUUGCCGGGGAGCAACGGGCGCCACGUGUGGCGCCACUGAGAGUACCCGGAGAAACAGCAUCGGCUAACUCCGUGCCAGCAGCCGCGGUAAUACGGAGGAUGCGAGCGUUAUCCGGAUUUAUUGGGUUUAAAGGGGGCGUAGGCGGAGUGUAAAGUCAGGGGUAAAAUUGAGGGGCUCAACCCCUUCCCGCCGUUGAAACUGGCGCUCUUGAGUGGAAGAGAGGUAUGCGGAAUGCGUGGUGUAGCGGUGAAAUGCAUAGAGAUCACGCAGAACCCCGAUUGCGAAGGCAGCAUGCCGGCUUCCUACUGACGCUGAAGCACGAAAGCGUGGGGAUCGAACAGGAUUAGAUACCCGAGUAGUC
Molecule: ribosomal RNA, 460 nt
Filed under: uncultured bacterium
Lineage: Bacteria
Description: partial 16S ribosomal RNA
Rfam family: Bacterial small subunit ribosomal RNA
Source: RNAcentral